AAGUAAAGAAGUAAAAAAAAUUUAAUUUCGACUUAAAAAAAAGGAUAAUCCACAUACUUA
Molecule: transfer RNA, 60 nt
Filed under: Nogodinidae sp.
Lineage: Eukaryota; Metazoa; Arthropoda; Insecta; Hemiptera; Nogodinidae
Description: tRNA-Arg
Source: RNAcentral